Terramyces sp. JEL0728 is the source of this 105-nucleotide non-coding RNA. NCBI's taxonomy places the organism in Eukaryota, Fungi, Chytridiomycota, Chytridiomycetes, Rhizophydiales, Terramycetaceae. The record is from the annotation of a GenBank genome assembly.
GUUUCUGUAGCUCAAAUGGUAGAGCGCUCCUCUAUCUACGGUUUGAACUCUGUUCACUACUCGUCAACUUCGGAGAGGAUGCCUGUUCAAAUCAGGUCAGAAACA